This 337-nucleotide long non-coding RNA is filed under the name Jatropha curcas. RNAcentral's name for it is "long non-coding RNA (JCUR_LNC001252)". Lineage: Eukaryota; Viridiplantae; Streptophyta; Magnoliopsida; Malpighiales; Euphorbiaceae. The record is from RNAcentral.
UUCUCUUGUCUCUUUCUGUUAUCUUUUUUGCGAUUCUCUUUCUCUCUUCCUCUCGCUUUGUGUCUCUCUCUUGUUCCUCUCUUUCUCUUAGCUAUUCUUAUUGAAUCUAGAUGGUCAAAGAUUCAUACAACGCCAAAUCGAGAUGGAGAAGAACUCAUAUAAGGGCAUUUGUGUGCAAAUCCUAGUCAAUUGAUAAAAUAGGAAAGACAAGCAAGAUGGGUUAAUCCCAGCUGCAGUUUAUUAUUUUCAUCAAUUUGUGUUUCUUUUAUUUCUAUUUUCUUAAUUUUUCUGAUAUUUCCAUCUCUUGAAUUAUUUUGUGAUUGUGUUUUUGAAUUAG